AUUGAACGCUGGCGGCAUGCCUUACACAUGCAAGUCGAACGGCAGCACGGGUGCUUGCACCUGGUGGCGAGGGGCGAACGGGUGAGUAAUAUAUCGGAACGUACCUUAUUGUGGGGGAUAACGCAGCGAAAGCUGUGCUAAUACCGCAUAAUCCCUUAGGGGGAAAGCGGGGGACCGUAAGGCCUCGCGCAAUUAGAGCGGCCGAUACCUGAUUAGCUAGUUGGUGAGGUAAGGCUCACCAAGGCGACGAUCAGUAGCUGGUCUGAGAGGACGAUCAGCCACACUGGGACUGAGACACGGCCCAGACUCCUACGGGAGGCAGCAGUGGGGAAUUUUGGACAAUGGGGGCAACCCUGAUCCAGCAAUGCCGCGUGAGUGAAGAAGGCCUUCGGGUUGUAAAGCUCUCUUGUCAGGGAAGAAACAGCAGCUCUAACACAGUAUGCGAAUGACGGUACCUGAAGAAUAAGCACCGGCUAACUACGUGCCAGCCGCCGCCGUAA
RNAcentral lists this ribosomal RNA (500 nucleotides) under uncultured bacterium. Its description in RNAcentral is "partial 16S ribosomal RNA". It matches the Rfam family "Bacterial small subunit ribosomal RNA", at positions 30 to 523 of the family's 1533-position model. The record is from RNAcentral.